AUUGAACGCUGGCGGCAGGCCUAACACAUGCAAGUCGAGCGAGCGGCGGACGGGUGAGUAAUGCCUGGGAAUUGCCCAGUCGAGGGGGAUAACAGUUGGAAACGACUGCUAAUACCGCAUACGAUUGGAUGGCCCAGGGUGGGUUAGCUAGUUGGUGAGGUAAUGGGUCACCAAGGCGACGACCCCUAGCUGGUCUGAGAGGAUGAUCAGCCCCACUGGACCUGAGACACGUUCCAGACUCCUACGGUAGGCAGCAGUGGGGAAUAUUGCACAAUGGGGGAAACCCGGAUGCAGCCAUGCCGCGUGUUGGAAGAAGUCCUUCGGGUUGUAAAGCACUUUCAGCGAGGAGGCGUUACUCGCAGAAGAAGCACCGGCUAACUCCGUGCCAGCAGCCGCGGUAAUUC
RNAcentral lists this ribosomal RNA (404 nucleotides) under uncultured bacterium. RNAcentral describes it as "partial 16S ribosomal RNA". It matches the Rfam family "Bacterial small subunit ribosomal RNA", at positions 30 to 526 of the family's 1533-position model. The record is from RNAcentral.